Molecule: ribosomal RNA, 402 nt
Filed under: uncultured prokaryote
Description: bacterial SSU rRNA
Rfam family: Bacterial small subunit ribosomal RNA
Source: RNAcentral
UAGGGAAUAUUAGUAAUGGGCGAAAGCCUGAACUAGCAACACCGCGUGUGCGAAGAAGGCCUUCGGGUUGUAAAGCACUUUUUGAGAGGAUGAGGAAGGACGGUACUCUCAGAAUAAGUCUCGGCUAACUACGUGCCAGCAGCCGCGGUAACACGUAGGAGGCAAACGUUAUCCGGAUUUACUGGGCGUAAAGCGCGUGUAGGUGGUUUGGUAAGUAGAGCGUGAAAGCUCCUGGCUCAACUGGGAGAGGUCGUUCUAAACUGCCGGACUAGAGGAUGGUAGAGGGAGGUGGAAUUCCGGGUGUAGCGGUUGAAUGCGCAGAUAUCCGGAGGAACACCAGUGGCGAAAGCGGCCUCCUGGACCACUCCUGACACUCAGACGCGAAAGCGUGGGGAGCAAACA